Molecule: long non-coding RNA, 224 nt
Organism: Silurus meridionalis
Lineage: Eukaryota; Metazoa; Chordata; Actinopteri; Siluriformes; Siluridae
Exons: 3
Source: RefSeq, a predicted model, not a curated record
AAUAAAUAAUAGCGAGUCGAUAGGAAGAAAUUUUUUGUUAUCAAGAGAGGACAAUGAUGAAUGGUCAGAUUGGUUUAUUCUGGCAGAAAGUCUACACAAACUCAGAUAGUCAAUGUGAAGCACACAGAUGAUGGGGUCAAAGCAUGAUAUUGCACGCAAUGUUACGAAGAGCAAAGUUCAGGUUUCUUCAUUGUCUUUGCAAGUCCCCCAGAUUUGCAUUGAAU